This 253-nucleotide ribosomal RNA is filed under the name uncultured bacterium. RNAcentral describes it as "partial 16S ribosomal RNA". It matches the Rfam family "Bacterial small subunit ribosomal RNA", at positions 524 to 776 of the family's 1533-position model. The record is from RNAcentral.
UACGUAGGGGGCGAGCGUUGUCCGGAUUUAUUGGGCGUAAAGCGCGGGCAGGCGGCCCCGUAAGUCGGCCGUGAAAGCGCCGGGCUCAACUCGGCGAGGACGGGCGAGACUGCAGGGCUGGAGAGAGGCAGAGGGCGGUGGAAUUCCGGGUGUAGUGGUGGAAUGCGUAGAGCUCCGGAGGAACACCAGUGGCGAAGGCGGCCGCCUGGGCCUUUUCUGACGCUGAGCCGCGAAAGCGUGGGGAGCGAGCCGG